RNAcentral lists this ribosomal RNA (497 nucleotides) under uncultured bacterium. RNAcentral describes it as "partial 16S ribosomal RNA". It matches the Rfam family "Bacterial small subunit ribosomal RNA", at positions 28 to 507 of the family's 1533-position model. The record is from RNAcentral.
GAUGAACGCUGGCGGCGUGCCUAAUACAUGCAAGUCGAGCGAACGGACGAGAAGCUUGCUUCUCUGAUGUUAGCGGCGGACGGGUGAGUAACACGUGGAUAACCUACCUAUAAGACUGGGAUAACUUCGGGAAACCGUAGCUAAUACCGGAUAAUAUUUUGAACCGCAUGGUUCAAAAGUGAAAGACGGUCUUGCUGUCACUUAUAGAUGGAUCCGCGCUGCAUUAGCUAGUUGGUAAGGUAACGGCUUACCAAGGCAACGAUGCAUAGCCGACCUGAGAGGGUGAUCGGCCACACUGGAACUGAGACACGGUCCAGACUCCUACGGGAGGCAGCAGUAGGGAAUCUUCCGCAAUGGGCGAAAGCCUGACGGCGCAACGCCGCGUGAGUGAUGAAGGUCUUCGGAUCGUAAAACUCUGUUAUUAGGGAAGAACAUAUGUGUAAGUAACUGUGCACAUCUUGACGGUACCUAAUCAGAAAGCCACGGCUAACUACGUG